UAUUAUUCUAAUUGUAAUAUUUAAGGAAAUUAGAGUAGUAAUAGUUAAGUGCUUAAAACUCAAAGAAUUUGGCGGUGUUUUAGUCUUUUCAGAGGAAUCUGUUCUGUAAUCGAUAAUACACGUUAUAUUAAACUUAAUUUUGUAAGGACAGUUUGUAUACCGCCGUCAUAAGAUUAUCUUUUUAGAGUAUAAAUUUUCUAGAUAUUAGAGGAUAAUAUGUCAGGUCAAGGUGCAGUUUAUAAUUAAGAAGUAAUGGAUUACAAUAGAAUUAUUUAUAUGAAUUUUAUGCUGAAAAUCAUAGAUGAAGGUGGAUUUGAUUGUAAUAUUAUUAUAUUAUGAUAAUAUGAUUAAAGCUCUAGAACAUGUACACAUCG
Molecule: ribosomal RNA, 374 nt
Filed under: Viadana sp. Pak043
Lineage: Eukaryota; Metazoa; Arthropoda; Insecta; Orthoptera; Tettigoniidae
Description: partial 12S ribosomal RNA
Source: RNAcentral